AUUGCAGAGAAGGUGAGGGAAGCAAGGUUGAGAUGGUAUGGACAUGUAACAAGAAGAGAUAAAGGAAAGUUGGUCGGAAGCAUAAUGGAAUGAAAAGAUCAGAAGAUGUGAGGUGGUAGACUUUGCAGAGAAGGUGAGGGAAGCAAGGUUGAGAUGGUAUGGACACGUAAUAAGAAGAGAUGAAGGAGAGCUGGUCAGAGACAUUAUGGAAUGAAGAGAUCAGAAGAUGUGGGGUGAUAGACAUUGCAGAGAAGGUGAGGGAAGCAAGGUUGAGAUAGUAUGGACACAUAAUAAGAAGAGAUGAAGGAGAGCUGGUCAGAGACAUUAUGGAAUGAAGAGAUCAGAAGACGUGGGGUGGUAGACAUUGCAGAGAAGGUGAGGGAAGCAAGGUUGAGAUGGUAUGGACACGUAAUAAGAAGAGAUGAAGAAGAGGCGGUCAGAAAUAUUAUAUCGGGUGUCCCCCCAAAAAAACUGGGCACUGUUUGAUUUCAUGUAACGUAAAAGCUAUAAAAGCUAUCGCAAUGAAACAAAGAUCAUUGCAUUCAGAAAGGACUAACUUAGAUU
Paramuricea clavata is the source of this 564-nucleotide non-coding RNA. NCBI's taxonomy places the organism in Eukaryota, Metazoa, Cnidaria, Anthozoa, Malacalcyonacea, Plexauridae. The record is from the annotation of a GenBank genome assembly.